AUUAAUAAGCGGAGGAAAAGAAACUAACAAGGAUUCCCCCAGUAACGGCGAGUGAAGCGGGAAUAGCUCAAAUUUGAAAUCUCCGACGCUUGCGUCGGCGAGUUGUAGUUGCGAGAAGCACUUUCUCGGCGGAUCGGGCGUGCCUAAGUUGCUUGGAACAGUACGUCGCAGAGGGUGACAACCCCGUCUGUGGCACGGCCGGCCGCUCACGAUGUGCUUUCGAAGAGUCGGGUUGUUUGGGAAUGCAGCCCAAAACGGGUGGUAAACUCCAUCUAAAGCUAAAUAUUGACGUGAGACCGAUAGCGAACAAGUACCGUGAGGGAAAGAUGAAAAGAACUUUGAAAAGAGAGUUAAAAAGUACGUGAAACCGUUGGAAGGGAAACGAAUGGACUCAGCAAUGCGCCGUUUUGAGAUUCAGCCGGCCGGCGGGAUCGGCUCGGGGUUUGCGGAUCUGAAUGGACCGCUAUCUCGGGCUCGUUUUUCCCGGCCGUCGCACUUCUCUUGGGCGCACGUCAACGUCGGUUGGGACUGGGUCUGAAAGGCUCCGGGAAGGUAGGUCCGCGCGUUCCUCGCGUUCGCGCGUUCUGUUACAGCCCGGUUCUCUUGCGGCUCGGGCCCGACCGAGGCGGUUGCAGCGCAUGCCUCUUUUGGCUAGGGUCCCGUCCGUCCGGCCGGUUGUCGACCGCGGUGGACUGCUUGCAGUGCUCCGCGACUGCUGCCGGUCGUUGGGGUGGUGAUCUCGUACCAUGCGCUAAGGAUGUUGGCGG
Molecule: ribosomal RNA, 767 nt
Filed under: Javania borealis
Lineage: Eukaryota; Metazoa; Cnidaria; Anthozoa; Scleractinia; Flabellidae
Description: partial large subunit ribosomal RNA
Rfam family: Eukaryotic large subunit ribosomal RNA
Source: RNAcentral